Molecule: ribosomal RNA, 176 nt
Filed under: Klebsiella oxytoca
Lineage: Bacteria; Pseudomonadati; Pseudomonadota; Gammaproteobacteria; Enterobacterales; Enterobacteriaceae
Description: partial 16S ribosomal RNA
Rfam family: Bacterial small subunit ribosomal RNA
Source: RNAcentral
AAAUUGAAGAGUUUGAUCAUGGCUCAGAUUGAACGCUGGCGGCAGGCCUAACACAUGCAAGUCGAACGGUAGCACAGAGAGCUUGCUCUCGGGUGACGAGUGGCGGACGGGUGAGUAAUGUCUGGGAAACUGCCCGAUGGAGGGGGAUAACUACUGGAAACGGUAGCUAAUACCGC